UGGGGAAUAGUGGACAAUGGGCGCAAGCCUGAUCCAGCCAUGCGGCGUGAGUGAUGAAGGCCCUAGGGUUGUAAAGCUCUUUCACCGGUGAAGAUAAUGACGGUAACCGGAGAAGAAGCCCCGGCUAACUUCGUGCCAGCAGCCGCGGUAAUACGAAGGGGGCUAGCGUUGUUCGGAUUUACUGGGCGUAAAGCGCACGUAGGCGGCCUUUUACGUCAGCGGUGAAAUCCCGGGGCUCAACCCCGGAACUGCCUUUGAUGCUGGAAGUCUUGUGUAUGGUAGAGGUGGGUGGAAUUCCGAGUGUAGAGGUGGAAUUCGUAGAUAUUCGGAGGAACACCAGUGGCGGAGGAGGCUCACUGGACCAUUACUGACGCUGAGGUGCGAAAGCGUGGUGGGCAAACAGG
Molecule: ribosomal RNA, 404 nt
Filed under: Actinomycetes bacterium
Lineage: Bacteria; Bacillati; Actinomycetota; Actinomycetes
Description: Actinobacteria bacterium partial 16S ribosomal RNA
Rfam family: Bacterial small subunit ribosomal RNA
Source: RNAcentral